This 20-nucleotide small nuclear RNA is filed under the name Arabidopsis thaliana (thale cress). Its description in RNAcentral is "snRNA_10254". The record is from RNAcentral. Lineage: Eukaryota; Viridiplantae; Streptophyta; Magnoliopsida; Brassicales; Brassicaceae.
GCGGCCGUCGGUGCAGAUCU